ACGCUGGCGGCGUGCCUAACACAUGCAAGUCGAGCGGGGACAUGCGACGGAUAGGAAGAUUUCGGUUGGACUUGAAGAUGCAUUGUUCUAGCGGCGGACGGGUGAGUAACGCGUGAGCAACCUGUCCCUUACAGGGGGAUAACACAGCGAAAGUUGUACUAAUACCGCAUAAGACCACGGGAGGACAUCCUUCAGGGGUCAAAGGAGGAAUCCGGUAAGGGGUGGGCUCGCGUCCGAUUAGAUAGUUGGUGAGGUAACGGCCCACCAAGUCGACGAUCGGUAGCCGACCUGAGAGGGUGAUCGGCCACAUUGGGACUGAGACACGGCCCAAACUCCUACGGGAGGCAGCAGUGGGGAAUAUUGGGCAAUGGGGGGAAACCCCCUGACCCAGCAACGCCGCGUGAGGGAAGAAGGUUUUCGGAUCGUAAACCUCUGUCCUUGGUGAAGAGGAAGAGACGGUAGCCAAGGAGGAAGCCCCGGCUAACUACGUGCCAGCAGCAGC
Molecule: ribosomal RNA, 502 nt
Filed under: uncultured bacterium
Lineage: Bacteria
Description: bacterial SSU rRNA
Rfam family: Bacterial small subunit ribosomal RNA
Source: RNAcentral